CGGGGAGUGGCUUAGUGGUAAAGCGCUCGCUUGGGGUGCGAGAGAUCGGGGGUUCAAUUCCCCCUUCCCCGA
Molecule: transfer RNA, 72 nt
Filed under: Elusimicrobium minutum Pei191
Lineage: Bacteria; Pseudomonadati; Elusimicrobiota; Elusimicrobia; Elusimicrobiales; Elusimicrobiaceae
Rfam family: tRNA
About the family: Transfer RNA (tRNA) molecules are approximately 80 nucleotides in length. Their secondary structure includes four short double-helical elements and three loops (D, anti-codon, and T loops).
Source: Rfam by way of RNAcentral